Molecule: unclassified non-coding RNA, 138 nt
Filed under: uncultured Ascomycota
Lineage: Eukaryota; Fungi; Ascomycota
Description: sequence contains ITS2
Source: RNAcentral
CACCAAUCAAGCCCAGCUUGGUAUUGGAGAUGGUCCCUGGACCUCUCUGGAACCCGUAGGCGGUAGCACCCAGCAUCAAGCGUAGCAAAACUAUCGCUGAAAUGUCUGGGGGCGACCUGCCUCUAAAUUCCAUCUGAA